Molecule: ribosomal RNA, 459 nt
Filed under: uncultured bacterium
Lineage: Bacteria
Description: partial 16S ribosomal RNA
Rfam family: Bacterial small subunit ribosomal RNA
Source: RNAcentral
CCUACGGGGGGCUGCAGUGAGGAAUAUUGGUCAAUGGGAGAGAUCCUGAACCAGCCAAGCCGCGUGAGGGAAGACGGCCCUAUGGGUUGUAAACCUCUUUUGUCGGAGAACAAAACCCGGGACGUGUCCCGGACUGCGUGUAUCCGAAGAAAAAGCAUCGGCUAACUCCGUGCCAGCAGCCGCGGUAAUACGGAGGAGGCGAGCGUUAUCCGGAUUUAUUGGGUUUAAAGGGUGCGUAGGCGGUCCGUUAAGUCAGCGGGAAAAUUGCGGGGCUCAACCCCGUCGAGCCGUUGAAACUGGCAGACUUGAGUUGGCGAGAAGUACGCGGAAUGCGCGGUGUAGCGGUGAAAUGCAUAGAUAUCGCGCAGAACUCCGAUUGCGAAGGCAGCGUACCGGCGCCAGACUGACGCUGAGGCACGAAAGCGUGGGGAUCGAACAGGAUUAGAUACCCCAGUAGUC